RNAcentral lists this ribosomal RNA (458 nucleotides) under uncultured bacterium. RNAcentral describes it as "partial 16S ribosomal RNA". It matches the Rfam family "Bacterial small subunit ribosomal RNA", at positions 338 to 795 of the family's 1533-position model. The record is from RNAcentral.
CCUACGGGAGGCAGCAGUGAGGAAUAUUGGUCAAUGGGCGAGAGCCUGAACCAGCCAAGUCGCGUGAGGGAGUACUGCCCUAUGGGUUGUAAACCUCUUUUGUCGGGGAGCAAAAGCCGGACGUGUCCGGCUGUGAGAGUACCCGAAGAAAAAGCAUCGGCUAACUCCGUGCCAGCAGCCGCGGUAAUACGGAGGAUGCGAGCGUUAUCCGGAUGUAUUGGGGUUAAAGGGUGCGCAGGCGGAUUUUUAAGUCAGCGGUCAAAUCGUGGGGCUCAACCCCAUCCAGCCGUUGAAACUGGGGAUCUAGAGUGUGCGAGAGGUAUGCGGAAUGCGUGGUGUAGCGGUGAAAUGCAUAGAUAUCACGCAGAACCCCGAUUGCGAAGGCAGCAUACCGGUGCACAACUGACGCUCAGGCACGAAAGCGUGGGUAUCGAACAGGAUUAGAUACCCCUGUAGUC